Small nuclear RNA from Ursus americanus (American black bear), 107 nucleotides. The record is from Ensembl. Lineage: Eukaryota; Metazoa; Chordata; Mammalia; Carnivora; Ursidae.
AUGCCCGCUUUGGCAGCACAUACACUGAAAUUGGAACAAUACAGAGAAGAUUAGCAUGACCCCUGCGCAAGGAUGACAUGCAAAUUUGUAAAGUGUUCCAUUUUUUA